Molecule: RNA transcript, 4038 nt
Organism: Drosophila mojavensis
Lineage: Eukaryota; Metazoa; Arthropoda; Insecta; Diptera; Drosophilidae
Gene: mthl1
Gene name: probable G-protein coupled receptor Mth-like 1
Exons: 3
Source: RefSeq, a predicted model, not a curated record
CGCUAGUCGGUUUUUUGUAGUCGCUCAGUGCAGGCGUGCAGCUCGCCGUGAAAUUUUUUGUAUGUGCGUUUUUUUUUUCGAUUUAUCAUCUUUUUUUCGAACGACGCGCUUGGAAUUCAAUUUGUGGUUCGUUCAACAGACGCGAAGUUAAACCGAGUGUAGCCAAGUUAAAGAAGCCAAAUUAAAGCAUUUGAUUAGUAAGUGUUAAACAAAUGCAAAUAAAAUGCCAUUGAUGAGCGACGGAGGAGAAAAGUGAAAAGCAAAUUUUCUGCUACGCUUGAGAACCGAAACGAAACAGCAACAAGAAACAGAAGAAGAAGAAGCAGCAGCAGAACAAGACAAUUGAGCGAGACGAAGACGAAAGCGAAAAGCUGAAGAGAAGUAGAGAAAAAGAUCAUGCGUGCUUGACGACGACGCUGGCAAGGCCAAUACAUGCAGUAGAGGGGCGGACAGCGGGCGAGACAACAACAACAAUAAAUAGUGCCAAACACAAUGCACAAGAUAGACAACAAGAAAACGAGGAGCAACAACAGUAUUUGUAUUUCCACAUAAUUGACAACGAGCGCCUGCAAACGUGCGCACAAGAAGCCACACAAGAGAGAGCCCACGAAAUUAGAUGAAGAAAAUAAGACACAAAACAACAACAAAAUUACCGCUCAGCAUUGCUCAAGCAUAUGUAUAUGUGUGAAUAUAUAUAUGUGUGUGUGUCUCUCUCUCUCAGUCUCUGUGUUUUGAAAGUACAGCGAAGGCAACAGGCGUCUAACAGUGUUGUGUGCAGCAGCUAAGCUUACCUUCAGCUGGGCUCAGACAAACAGGAGACACCGCUACGAAAACAGUGUUGUGUGCAGCAGCUGCAGAAAAAAGUAGUAUUAUGACGAACUAAUGCAAAGGAGGCUCUUAACAAGAAAAACAUUGCAGGAAAUGUAGCAACCAAUGCAAUUAGGCAAUUAAAACUGUGUUCAAUCAAUUUCGAUUUUGAAUUGUUAAUAUAAACAUAUUUAUUAUAUUGAAAGUGCAGUAAAAACAGUGUUGCGUGCAACAGUAAAACUAGGCAUACAAACAAACGAGGAUUGAGAAACGAAGCCUUGCGCAAUACAUUUUAAAUUCCACUCCCUCACACACACAAACGCACACACAAAGAUGAAGAGCUUUUGGCUUUUGCUAGCGCUGCUGAUCGGCACUGCGAACAGCCAAGAGGAUUUGCUCACAACAACAACGACAGCGGCGUCGCCUGGCAGCGCGUCGGGUCGGCCGCCUCCACCGCGUGUUUUGAUAAACAAGUGUUGCCACCAUGGCGAAUAUUUGAUUGGCAGCACUCUGGAGUGCGUCGCUGGCUCGUCUGAGAAGUGGGUGCCGCUGGUCUAUCUGAAACAGCAGAAUCGCUUCUUUGAGCCCAGAGGCGCCAAGCCACGGUUCAUGAAGUUCCUGCCGAACGUGCGGCCGCCUUGCCAGGCGCAGGGCCAGCAGCAGGAGCUGUUUAGUAGCCGUGACGCGAAUGUCGUACUCCUGACCAAUGGCACGAUGAAGGUGCACGAGCGUGGCCUGUUUAUCGAGCCCUCUCGCUACUGUGUGGAUCAAGGCGUGGCGCUGGUCUGCCUCGACAAGGACAAGAACAAUGAUCUUGAGACCCCAGCGGCUGCUGAUGGCACAGGUGCAUCAGCCUCCACUGACGAUGCACUGCGACCGGCCAGCUCGACAGCGCCCAUGCUGCGUCUGCGCAAAUGCUGCGGCAAGUGUUGCUACUACGAUACCGUGGCCAAGACCUGCAGCGUCCUGACGCCCGCCGAGCGCAGCUCGGACAGUGGGCAGCUGAAUCUGCCCAAUCUGGAGACAGGCAGUUACCAGACUACCUAUGAGCUGCCCGAUUGCAAAGGCAACGGCACUGGCUAUGCCAUAGCCGGGGACUGGCACGAGGCGACACUGAACCGGAGCAGCGGUUCCCUCCAGCUCAGCCACACGAAUUUGACGGCUGCGCAGUUCUGCCUGGAGCACACGCAGCGAGCAGGAGAGGUGAAGAUCAUUGCCUGCACCCAGCACUUUGCCGAUGACCACAACAAUGUCUCCUAUGGCGGGGCAAACGGCAAUCUGCAAAAGGCCGUGCUGGACGUGGGCAUCAUCAUAUCCAUUAUCUUUUUGGCGGCCACUCUGGUUGCCGGGUAUAUGCUGCCGGCAGUGCAUCAUGCACUGCACUGGCGUUGCCAGAUCUACUACGUGUUCUGCCUGCUGGUGGGCAAGAUUCUGCUGGCCAUUGAGGAGCUGAGCACAAGCCUGGAGCCGGGCACAGCAAGCUGUCUGCUCAUUGCCAUUGGCAUGCAGUUCUUCUUCCUGUCCGCCUUCUUCUGGCUGAACACGAUGUGCUUCAACAUCUGGUGGACAUUCCGAGACUUUCGGCCCAGUUCGCUGGAGCGCAAUCAGGAGUCGAUUCGUCUGCGUCUAUACUCCGUCUAUGCCUGGGGCUUGCCCCUGCUCAUCUGCGCCAUUGCCGCCUUUGUGGAUCAGCUGCCGGAGACGGAGACCUCGAUGUUGCGGCCGGGCUUUGGUCAGCCGUUUUGCUGGUUCGACAAUCGCUCGCUGACCAUCUUCGCCUACUUCUACGGCCCGAUCGGACUGCUGUUGUGCGCCAACAUUGUGCUCUUCAUCUCCACCACGCAUCAGCUGACGUGUGGACUGUGGAAGCGCGACGAUGUCAAGUCCACGUCGGAGAAAUCGGCGCUGGGUCGCGUGUGCCUGAAGCUGGUGGUGGUGAUGGGCGUCACCUGGAUCUGGGACAUCAUCUCGUGGCUGGUGGGCGGGCCGCAUGGUGCCUGGCUGUUGACGGAUCUCAUCAAUGCGCUCCAAGGCGUCUUCAUAUUCAUUGUGGUCGGCUGCCAGCCGCAGGUGUGGACCGCCUGCAAGCGCAUCUGCUGUCCGCGCCUCCGACACGACAUCACCAACACCACCAAUGGCGUGCAGCACUCGAGCAGCUCCCAGGGUCUGCCCUCCAUGGCCAAUGGCACCGAAUUCACCCAAAACAUAUCCAUGAACAACACGAUAACAACCAUGACACCUGCCAGCCCCACCACAGAGGAGGCCCCCACCUCGAUACCUGCGACGUGCAGUCCAACUACCCAACCCCCAUCCAUACCCCAAGGAGGAGCAGCAGCAGCAGCAACAACAACAGCAAAGAUACCCCUGGAGACCAUUUGCUAAGAAAACUGAGACGAGCGACAAUGCGAAAGUAAACCGAGUCCUACAACAACUACAACAGCAGCAGCAGCAACAACAGCAACAACAAUGACAAUGAAGGCAGCAACAACAGCAACCACCGCAAGCGGGCAGGCUUGCGCAAUAGCAGAGACAACAACAACAACAGCAGCAGCAGCAGCAGCAAAAACAACAGUAAUAACCGCAAUAAGCACAACAUUCAAGCACGCGCAUUGACCGAACGAGCGAGAGGCCAACUUGACUGCCCAGCCCCAGGCCCCAGGCCCGAGCCCAUGCCCAGGCCCAUGCCCAUGCUCAGCUGGCCAAGCUCUUUCUUGCAAUAAUUUACCAUCAACUGAUUUCAAUUGGAAGGAGUGGAUCUUGUCGUUUGUGGAACAUGGAAGCUGUGGAUCUUUUAUGGCUUGCCAUUCCAGCUAAAAGCAGAGGAUGUAACUGUAAACACUGGAAAUCAAAUUGUUUAGGUGUGUGAAUGUGUGUGUGUAUUGUUUUUUAGCGCGCGUUUAAUUAAACAAACAUUGAGAACGGUUAAAUAGUUUACUUUGAUAUGCACACAUACACACACACAAGCACACAGCAAAGUCAUAACAAUAACACACACACAGGCCCAAAAGUUCAACGGAAUGAAAACUGAUCAAGGUUAAAUGGCGCAGAGCAAUAUAAAAAAAAUAAUAAUAUAAAUAGAAGCGAAAUACAAAAAAACAACAACCACAAAUAGACAAAAAGCAGAGAUAAAGAAGAUGCCAAAAGAAGAAAGCGCGUUUAAUUAACCGGACGCACAAACACACACGCGAUGCACAGUUAAGUUGGUGCAGUUGCCAGACCUGCGCGCAGAGC